CUACGGGGCGCUGCAGUGGGGAAUAUUGGACAAUGGGGGAAACCCUGAUCCAGCAAUGCCGCGUGUGUGAAGAAGGCCUGCGGGUUGUAAAGCACUUUCGGUUGGGAGGACUGCUUCUAGCACUAAUAUUGUUGGAAGUUGACGUUACCUUCAGAAGAAGCACCGGCUAACUCCGUGCCAGCAGCGCGCGGUAAUACGGAGGGUGCAAGCGUUAAUCGGAAUUACUGGGCGUAAAGCGCGCGUAGGCGGCUAGAUCAGUCGGGUGUGAAAGCCCCGGGCUUAACCUGGGAACUGCAUCCGAUACUGUCUAGCUUGAGUACAGGGGAGGAGAGUGGAAUUCCACAUGUAGCGGUGAAAUGCGUAGAUAUGUGGAGGAACACCAAUGGCGAAGGCAGCUCUCUGGCCUGAUACUGACGCUGAGGUGCGAAAGCGUGGGGAGCAAACAGGAUUAGAUACCCGAGUAGUC
This 466-nucleotide ribosomal RNA is filed under the name uncultured bacterium. RNAcentral describes it as "partial 16S ribosomal RNA". It matches the Rfam family "Bacterial small subunit ribosomal RNA", at positions 339 to 795 of the family's 1533-position model. The record is from RNAcentral.